UACGUAGGGUGCAAGCGUUGUCCGGAAUUAUUGGGCGUAAAGAGCUUGUAGGCGGUUUGUCGCGUCUGCUGUGAAAUUUCGGGGCUCAACCCCGAACUUGCAGUGGGUACGGGCAGACUAGAGUGUGGUAGGGGAGACUGGAAUUCCCGGUGUAGCGGUGAAAUGUGUAGAGAUCGGGAGGAACACCGGUGGCGAAGGCGGGUCUCUGGGCAUUUCCUGACGCUGAGGCGCGAAAGCGUGGGGAGCAAACGGG
Molecule: ribosomal RNA, 253 nt
Filed under: uncultured bacterium
Lineage: Bacteria
Description: partial 16S ribosomal RNA
Rfam family: Bacterial small subunit ribosomal RNA
Source: RNAcentral